UGAUGGCCGUCACGUAUAGCCAGUACAUAUUUUUGGGGUUUAAUCCCCAGUUUCUACCACAAAUUCGGCGGCAUGCCCAUAGAGCAUAGCAAGCCUUUUUUGAUGUUUUUUCCAGAUGAGAGGUCCAGCUAAGUUUUUUGUCCAGGUUUAAUCCUAGAUACUUAACUUCCUCCGCAAACGGAAUUGUCUCACCAAGAAGAAUGGGCGGUUUCAGUUUGUCUGUUUUCCUUCUUCUGUGUGCACCAGCCGUGAAUUGCAUCUAGGAUUUCCUGUAUUUUUGAGGAGAUGUCCUCCUCUUUGUGUCCUUUUACUAGGAUCACCAGGUCGUCCGCAUAUGCCUGUGCUUGAACCUCGUAGUCCGAAGUAUACAAGAUAGCUUAAUAGCCGUAGAAAACUCAACUUUAUUAGAAUAUUUUGAAUGGGAAAACGGUAGUAAUGACUUUUAUGUGCCUUAAGUGCUGUUAAGAAGGUGAGUUUUGUUGAUGUAAAUAAUAACUGUUUAUAUAUUUAUAAUUCAUUUAUUUUUGUUUCCUAAAAUAUUUCGAUUUAAAGAAAAUAUAUUAAAGUGGGCAACGCUGUGCUGGUCAAAAAAUAGGCGUUACUCAGAAAUUAUUUAGAAACAAACGAAAUAAAAAUGAAACGUCUACACCCUGUAUCUUCAAAAGGGAGCAAUUUAGGACAUAAUUUUAUACAAACUUUUUGACUUAUUUUUAUCUGCAGAAUACAUUGCUGCAGUUAUUCGAUUAUAAUUCUUACCACCUUGUAUAUUAAAGUAUUCUUCCUUUAUAAAAAAUAAUUCAAUCGAAACAGAUAUUUUAAAAAUAGAAACAAAACAGAAAAAUUAAUCAAACUAUCCUGUGACAAAUGUGUUAUUAUAAUGCCCAGAAUUUUUUGAAUAAUAAGUAAACGUAUCCUGGCACUAUUCCAAAACAAAGCGAACAUUGAGAAAAUUUAAGCGAAACUCGAAAACAUUCAUUUGGUUUGUUCGGUGGUGUGCGGUUAUUCAACAGACACAAAAACAAUGCUUAAAGCCAGGUACAACCCCGUGUAUGGAAACGAAUAUUACUUGGGGGAUACUAGAUCACAUACCUGACU
Sitophilus oryzae (rice weevil) is the source of this 1095-nucleotide long non-coding RNA. RefSeq lists it as uncharacterized. The transcript has 3 exons. The record is from RefSeq and is a predicted model, not a curated record. NCBI's taxonomy places the organism in Eukaryota, Metazoa, Arthropoda, Insecta, Coleoptera, Curculionidae.